GCCGUCUUAGCUCAGCGGUAGAGCAACAGUUUUGUAAACUGUAGGUCGGAGGUUCAAAUCCUCUUCCCGGCUCCA
Molecule: transfer RNA, 75 nt
Filed under: Patescibacteria group bacterium
Lineage: Bacteria
Description: tRNA-Thr
Rfam family: tRNA
About the family: Transfer RNA (tRNA) molecules are approximately 80 nucleotides in length. Their secondary structure includes four short double-helical elements and three loops (D, anti-codon, and T loops).
Source: RNAcentral